This 378-nucleotide ribosomal RNA is filed under the name uncultured bacterium. RNAcentral describes it as "bacterial SSU rRNA". It matches the Rfam family "Bacterial small subunit ribosomal RNA", at positions 29 to 404 of the family's 1533-position model. The record is from RNAcentral.
AACGAACGCUGGCGGCGUGGUUCAGGCAUGCAAGUCGAACGAUCUCGCAAGGGAUAGUGGCAGAAGGGUUAGUAACACGUGGGUAAUCUACCCUCGAGUCGGGGAUAACUCCGCGAAAGCGGGGCUAAUACCCGAUAACAUCACUGGGUCGCAUGAUUCGGUGAUCAAAGGUGGCUCGCAAGGGCUGCCGAUUGAGGAGGAGCCCGCGGCCUAUCAGCUAGUUGGUGAGGUAACGGCCCACCAAGGCUUUUGACGGGUAGCUGGUCUAAGAGGACGAUCAGCAACAUUGGGACUGAGACACUGCCCAGACUCCUACGGGAGGCUGCAGUCGAGGAUCUUUAGCAAUGCCCGAAAGGGUGACUAUGCGACGCCGCGUGC